GGGGCCAUCCCGGCUUACCAACCCGAUGCAAACUUCGAAAACCCGAGAAWGUUAUCACGGGAGACACACGGCGGGUGCUAACGUCCGUCGUGAAGAGGGAAACAACCCAGACCGCCAGCUAAGGUCCCAAAGUCAUGGUUAAGUGGGAAACGAUGUGGGAAGGCCCAGACAGCCAGGAUGUUGGCUUAGAAGCAGCCAUCAUUUAAAGAAAGCGUAAUAGCUCACUGGUCGAGUCGGCCUGCGCGGAAGAUGUAACGGGGCUAAACCAUGCACCGAAGCUGCGGCAGCGAACGUAUCACUUAAAGCGAUUCAGCGGGUUACGAUUGACGGAGCGAAGCGACGUCAAAGCGUAUACAAAGUCGAGUCGGUUUAAGGAUACGUUCGUUGGGUAGGGGAGCGUUCUGUAAGCCCGUGAAGGUGGCCUGUGAGGGUUGCUGGAGGUAUCAGAAGUGCGAAUGCUGACAUAAGUAACGAUAAAGCGGGUGAAAAGCCCGCUCGCCGGAAGACCAAGGGUUCCUGUCCAACGUUAAUCGGGGCAGGGUGAGUCGACCCCUAAGGCGAGGCCGAAAGGCGUAGUCGAUGGGAAACGGGUUAAUAUUCCCGUACUUGGUGUUACUGCGAAGGGGGGACGGAGAAGGCUAUGUUGGCCGGGCGACGGUUGUCCCGGUUUAAGCGUGUAGGUGUGUGUUCCAGGUAAAUCCGGUUCACUUUAACACUGAGGCGUGAUGACGAGGCACUACGGUGCUGAAGCAACAAAUGCCCUGCUUCCAGGAAAAGCCUCUAAGCAUCAGGUAACAUCAAAUCGUACCCCAAACCGACACAGGUGGUCAGGUAGAGAAUACCAAGGCGCUUGAGAGAACUCGGGUGAAGGAACUAGGCAAAAUGGUGCCGUAACUUCGGGAGAAGGCACGCUGACACGUAGGUGAAGUGAUUUACUCACGGAGCUGAAGUCAGUCGAAGAUACCAGCUGGCUGCAACUGUUUAUUAAAAACACAGCACUGUGCAAACACGAAAGUGGACGUAUACGGUGUGACGCCUGCCCGGUGCCGGAAGGUUAAUUGAUGGGGUCAGCGCAAGCGAAGCUCCUGAUCGAAGCCCCGGUAAACGGCGGCCGUAACUAUAACGGUCCUAAGGUAGCGAAAUUCCUUGUCGGGUAAGUUCCGACCUGCACGAAUGGCGUAAUGAUGGCCAGGCUGUCUCCACCCGAGACUCAGUGAAAUUGAACUCGCUGUGAAGAUGCAGUGUACCCGCGGCAAGACGGAAAGACCCCGUGAACCUUUACUAUAGCUUGACACUGAACAUUGAGCCUUGAUGUGUAGGAUAG
Molecule: ribosomal RNA, 1324 nt
Filed under: Salmonella enterica subsp. enterica serovar Typhimurium
Lineage: Bacteria; Pseudomonadati; Pseudomonadota; Gammaproteobacteria; Enterobacterales; Enterobacteriaceae
Description: bacterial LSU rRNA
Source: RNAcentral